AUGCCGCGUGAGUGAUGAAGGCCUUCGGGUUGUAAAGCUCUUUCGCACGCGACGAUGAUGACGGUAGCGUGAGAAGAAGCCCCGGCUAACUUCGUGCCAGCAGCCGCGGUAAUACGAAGGGGGCUAGCGUUGUUCGGAAUUACUGGGCGUAAAGGGCGCGUAGGCGGUGUGUCAAGUCAGGCGUGAAAGCCCCGGGCUCAACCUGGGAACAGCGCUUGAGACUGGCACGCUCGAGUUCGGGAGAGGAUGGUGGAAUUCCCAGUGUAGAGGUGAAAUUCGUAGAUAUUGGGAAGAACACCGAUGGCGAAGGCAGCCAUCUGGACCGACACUGACGCUGAGGCGCGAAAGCGUGGGGAGCAAACAGGAUUAGAUACCCUGGUAGUCCACGCCGUAAACGAUGAGUGCUAGACGUCGGGGCCCUUAGGGCUUCGGUGUCGCAGCUAACGCAUUAAGCACUCCGCCUGGGGAGUACGGCCGCAAGGUUAAAACUCAAAGGAAUUGACGGGG
Molecule: ribosomal RNA, 507 nt
Filed under: Skermanella rosea
Lineage: Bacteria; Pseudomonadati; Pseudomonadota; Alphaproteobacteria; Rhodospirillales; Azospirillaceae
Description: bacterial SSU rRNA
Rfam family: Bacterial small subunit ribosomal RNA
Source: RNAcentral